GCGAGUGGCGAACGGGUGAGUAAUGCAUCGGAACGUGCCCAACUGUGGGGGAUAGCUCGGCGAAAGCCGGAUUAAUACCGCGUACGAUCCACGGAUGAAAGCGGGGGACCUUCGGGCCUCGCGCAGUUGGAGCGGCCGAUGUUAGAUUAGGUAGUUGGUGGGGUAAAGGCUCACCAAGCCGACGAUCUAUAGCUGGUCUGAGAGGACGACCAGCCACACUGGGACUGAGACACGGCCCAGACUCCUACGGGAGGCAGCAGUGGGGAAUUUUGGACAAUGGGCGCAAGCCUGAUCCAGCAAUACCGCGUGCAGGAAGAAGGCCUUCGGGUUGUAAACUGCUUUUGUACGGAACGAAAAGGUCUGGGUUAAUACCCUGGGCUCAUGACGGUACCGUAAGAAUAAGCACCGGCUAACUACGUGCCAGCAGCCGCGGUAAUACGUAGGGUGCAAGCGUUAAUCGGAAUUACUGGGCGUAAAGCGUGCGCAGGCGGUUAUGUAAGACAGGCGUGAAAUCCCCGGGCUCAACCUGGGAAUUGCGCUUGUGACUGCAUAACUAGAGUACGGUAGAGGGGGAUGGAAUUCCGCGUGUAGCAGUGAAAUGCGUAGAUAUGCGGAGGAACACCAAUGGCGAAGGCAGUCCCCUGGACCUGUACUGACGCUCAUGCACGAAAGCGUGGGGAGCAAACAGGAUUAGAUACCCUGGUAGUCCACGCCCUAAACGAUGUCAACUGGUUGUUGGGUAUUUACUUACUC
Molecule: ribosomal RNA, 753 nt
Filed under: uncultured bacterium
Lineage: Bacteria
Description: bacterial SSU rRNA
Rfam family: Bacterial small subunit ribosomal RNA
Source: RNAcentral